Molecule: ribosomal RNA, 487 nt
Filed under: uncultured Desulfobulbus sp.
Lineage: Bacteria; Pseudomonadati; Thermodesulfobacteriota; Desulfobulbia; Desulfobulbales; Desulfobulbaceae
Description: bacterial SSU rRNA
Rfam family: Bacterial small subunit ribosomal RNA
Source: RNAcentral
UUAAAGGAAGUUGACGGGGCCCGCACAAGCGGUGGAGUAUGUGGUUUAAUUCGAUGCAACGCGAAGAACCUUACCUGGUCUUGACAUCCCGGAGACCCUUAGGAAACUAGGGGGUGCUUCCAUCUGGAAGAAUCUGGAGACAGGUGCUGCAUGGCUGUCGUCAGCUCGUGUCGUGAGAUGUUGGGUUAAGUCCCGCAACGAGCGCAACCCUUGCCUUUAGUUGCCAGCAGUUCGGCUGGGCACUCUAAAGGGACUGCCGGUGUUAAACCGGAGGAAGGUGGGGAUGACGUCAAGUCCUCAUGGCCUUUAUGACCAGGGCUACACACGUACUACAAUGGCCGAUACAAAGGGCAGCGACACUGCGAGGUGAAGCCAAUCCCGUAAAAUCGGUCUCAGUCCGGAUUGGAGUCUGCAACUCGACUCCAUGAAGUUGGAAUCGCUAGUAAUCGUGGAUCAGCAUGCCACGGUGAAUACGUUCCCGGGCCUU